This is a non-coding RNA of Kogia breviceps (pygmy sperm whale), 1146 nucleotides long. The record is from RefSeq and is a predicted model, not a curated record. NCBI's taxonomy places the organism in Eukaryota, Metazoa, Chordata, Mammalia, Artiodactyla, Physeteridae.
AAAUAAAUGAUUCCAUUUAUCAUAAUUCUCAGAUAUUAGCUUUUCAAUAAUUUGUCUUCCUCUCAUAGGAAAACUUUUGACAGUAUCUGUGUCUAAGCAAAAAAGACGUAUUACUCUUUUAUCAGUGACCUUAAAAUUGGCUUAUCUUCUCAUAUUGAAGAUUCUAAAUAUGAGUUCUAGGUAUUAUAUUAUUAUAUCAAACAUGAACAUCAGUUCAUAAUUUAUAACGCUAAAAGGCACAAGGCAUAGAUGUUCACUGAUAGGCCAAAGGGUAGCUUUCAUGUCAUAUUACCUUAAAAGCAGAUCUGUAUAUUGAAGAUUAGUUUUCCAUUUAUGUAUUUUCAUUUACACAGCAGUGCUUCUCAAACUUUAAUGUGCAUAAGAGUCACUACGGGAUAUGUUAAAAUGCAGAUGCUGAUUCACGAGGUCUGGGGUAGAGCCCACGCACAAUUCUGCAUGUCUGACAAGCUCCCGGGUGCCAUUUACGCUGCUGGUCUCUAGGCACUUUGACUAGCAAGGUAUCUGAGAAGCGAAUAUGAGCCUUGCUCUCGGCUUCCCCUGAUGAUAUGGCAGCUACUGUGGCUAACUCCUUCCCAUGCUUAAAUUCGACUGCCCUGCCCUUCUCUGUUUCUCUCUCUCCUUCCCAGUGUCCAUCCCCAAAGCGAACACAAUACUGAAUGACUAUCCUCUGAGGAACUAAGAGCCUUUAAUCCCACCCUGAAUUCAGCUGGCAUCUCCUCGAUCUGAAGCUGUCCCUGCCACACCCUGCAUCGCCACCCAGGCCUCCUCCCCCAGAGAGGGGAAAAGGAGGCGUCUAGUCCUGGGUCACAGGGGGCCCCGGCGUCCUUCAGAACAGAAGGACAAUACCCUGAGUGGAGUGAGAAUGGCUCUUUAAAGCUUGAACAUCACAACCAUCACUGCCAUUUACUUCCACAAACCCCCAGAUGCCUGCUCCCAUCAGCUCAGGGGUGGUGUAGCUCAUCUGUCUUGGUGGAUGCACAGCUGGGAGGAGAAGUAACUGGGACACAGUGGUCUGAAAACCGCGGUUAGUUCUGAGGAAAAUCAAUGAUUGUGGCAGUAUACAAACCUUUGACAUCAGCAGAAUCUAAACGCUUGGGCCUCUGAUUUGAUUCAGGAGUUUCCUUU